AGAACGAACGCUGGCGGCAUGCCUAACACAUGCAAGUCGAACGCUUUUGGGGCUUCGGUCCCAAAGGAGUGGCGCACGGGUGAGUAGCGCGUGGGAACCUGCCCUGUUGUGGGGGAUAACCGAGGGAAACUUCGGCUAAUACCGCAUACGCCCGGGGGAAACUCCGGGGAAAGAUUUAUCGCAGCAGGAGGGGCCCGCGUCGGAUUAGGUAGUUGGUGGGGUAACGGCCCACCAAGCCUGUGAUCCGUAGCUGGUCUGAGAGGAUGAUCAGCCACACUGGGACUGAGACACGGCCCAGACUCCUACGGGAGGCAGCAGUGGGGAAUAUUGGACAAUGGGCGCAAGCCUGAUCCAGCAAUGCCGCGUGAGUGAUGAAGGCCUUCGGGUUGUAAAGCUCUUUCGCACGCGACGAUGAUGACGGUAGCGUGAGAGAAGCCCGGCUAACUCGUGCAGCAGCCGC
Molecule: ribosomal RNA, 460 nt
Filed under: uncultured bacterium
Lineage: Bacteria
Description: SSU rRNA
Rfam family: Bacterial small subunit ribosomal RNA
Source: RNAcentral